RNAcentral lists this unclassified non-coding RNA (338 nucleotides) under soil metagenome. RNAcentral describes it as "partial contains 5.8S ribosomal RNA, internal transcribed spacer 2, and large subunit ribosomal RNA". The stretch from base 1 to 120 matches the Rfam family "5.8S ribosomal RNA", at positions 35 to 154 of the family's 154-position model. The record is from RNAcentral.
GAUGAAGAACGUAGCGAAAUGCGAUAACUAAUGUGAAUUGCAGAAUUCAGUGAAUCAUCGAGUCUUUGAACGCACAUUGCGCCCCCUGGUAUUCCGGGGGGCAUGCCUGUCCGAGCGUCAUUGCUGCCCUCAAGCACGGCUUGUGUGUUGGGCUCCGUCCCCCCGGGGACGGGCCCGAAAGGCAGCGGCGGCACCGAGUCCGGUCCUCGAGCGUAUGGGGCUUUGUCACCCGCUCUGUAGGCCCGGCCGGCGCCAGCCGACAACCCAUCAUCCUUUUCAGGUUGACCUCGGAUCAGGUAGGGAUACCCGCUGAACUUAAGCAUAUCAAUAAGGGAGGA